Molecule: transfer RNA, 86 nt
Filed under: Marmota monax (woodchuck)
Lineage: Eukaryota; Metazoa; Chordata; Mammalia; Rodentia; Sciuridae
Description: tRNA.Ala
Source: RNAcentral
GGGGUUGUGGCUCAGAGGUAGAGCUCUCGCCUAGCAUAUGCGAGCCUAGCACUUUCGAGGCCCUGGGUUCGAUCCUCAGCACCACA